RNAcentral lists this long non-coding RNA (1625 nucleotides) under Homo sapiens (human). RNAcentral describes it as "HSALNT0323036". The record is from RNAcentral. Lineage: Eukaryota; Metazoa; Chordata; Mammalia; Primates; Hominidae.
CCAAAAACCAUAUAAACAUCAUCUUGUAAAGUAAAUAAAUAUAUAAGUGAUUUAGGAGUCAACACAUAUUACUCAAGAGCACCCUAUUGAGGCCCCAAGUCUCAUUGACAAGAUCUAAUUGGAGUUUAUAUCUGUAAGGCCAACACUAUGAGAAUGAAUGGGGUGAUGAGCAGAAAAAUAGUAGGGCUGGGGAGGGGACACAAAGAGAGACAUUCUCAGCACAAUGCCCAAAGGAGCUCCUUCUUUUACAUGGCUAGAUGACAAGAGGAAGUGAUGAAGUCAUAAAAGGAGUCAAUGAGAGAGAAAGAAAUGGGUGAGCGAAGUUCCUCAGUAUCAAAUAAAAUGUAGUUCAAAGGAGGAGAGGCUGGUGUGAAGAGGAAAAUGACAAAGGCACCGACUGAAGACAAAAGAAACUUCUCCAGUGGAUGAAGUUGUCCGCUGGCAUCCACAGCAAUGAUGUCCUUGCUUCCCAAAGUGUACACAUUGUUUGCUAGUGAGUGAGCUGACUGGGUUGUGCCAUCUUUCCUGCCCCCACACAUGAAGACACAUUCCUUUUGCUCUCUAAAUAACCUUGAAACAGGCUAAGCUUUCCAGAGCUCAUUUAUAGAAAUCCUCGAUUUAUGCAAACACAGUAUCAUGCAAAAGAAUUAAAAAGGAGAAACAGAAUUUGAAAUAGUAGUGCAAGGGAAGAGCUCAAUGAGGACCACCCUGGAGAUGGAGAAAAGAUCCAAAGUCUGUUUCCAAUUAUGAGCUUCUAGGAGGAGAAUGAGUUAUAUUUAAAGUAGUUCCAAACCAGGGUGAUUGCUGAGUUCUGGAGACAGACUGGGCUUCUGCUUUCUUUUGGUGGAGGUGUCUGCUUGCAGAAAAUUUAUGUUCUGGGAUUUACAACUUCAGGGAGACAAAGGAAACUCCAGCUCAUCUCCCACAUCAUUGAUUGAGAGGACCAUUUUCUGACUGUCUGCACACGUUUCCUAUACUACCCUUUAAUGCAACAAUGGGAUGAAGAGAUGAAGACUUCUAGCAGGCUACCUCAGAAAGGUUGCUGACCAAAGGCUGUAUGGACCAAAAAGUCAUAACACCACCCUGGAUGAAAGGACAUUUACCUAAGGAAUUACCCGCUCUCAAUUCUUCCCAGGUGCAUGUAGUAUAGAUUAAAUAAGGUGGUUGUAUGGCAACAGAGACAUUAUUAGAAACAUUCUUCUUGAAGUUUGACAACAAAGCAGUAGAUGUGUAUCUACUACAGAGUUGUUAGUGAAAAAAGGUAUGUUUGAAGUAAUCAAUUGGUAUUCAUUUUAAACAGUAAUGGUCUUACUGAAGCUAAGUUUAAUACAUGCUGUGUUUGGAAGUAAUUUCUUUACCACUGUGUAGAAACCUUCACAGCUGUUCUUUUUUUGUUGUUGUGUUGUUGACAUUCAGUAGCAAAUUACAAGAAUCUCUGAUGAAAACUCCUUACAGCUAGAUGUGUUCUUAUUUUUGAAUUCAGACUCAGUGUCAAUGAUCUCACUACUCUAUCUCCAAUUUUCCCAAAUACAUGGGUAAAUUGUAAGUGGAAGCUAAUUUAUCUUCAAAAAUUUGAAGGGCAGGAUAGACACUGUCUAGUUUGGAAAUAUUAAGAAUAUAAUUCU